AGCUACACUCAGAGCUGCAGCCGCUGUUAAAAAGAGUCUACUGGCGUAAAAAUUGGUUCGGCGUAAUAUAAUCGAAGCCAUGCGUCGACUCGAUAAAUCUUUAGACUUUCUGAAAAUACAAAAUUCAAUUGUUCAGCGGACAAAUCACAACAUAGAAUAUUGGGUUGUGUAAAGAACACUUCGCGUUAUCGUCCGUGGGGUCUGGGACCCACUAGUUGGACGUUGGAGCUUGAGAGGAAGUUUGGGGCGUAUGGUUGGUUAAGGAUCAGACGCGUAGAGAAGCUAAAUCAGGACUUUCUGUAAGAAUUAAACCGAAGUUACAAGAAGGAACUAUGAAAAAGUUGGGUCAUGACUGAACAUCGAGCACAGACCACCACUUUUCCGUACCUCGUUGAUGCAGCUAAGAUCCUUCCUAAUUCGCUUUCUACUUCUGUGUGAUGAGAUCACUAUGGCAGUUGGGGAUCAGCUGUGAAAAAGAGUGCGCGAAUGACGAUCCUUCUCACUGCCCUGGCUUUCCAAGAAGUGAGGCAACUUUCUUGAAACCUUCAUAUCAUUUCAGACUUGUAGGAUUGAUUGUCCCUGCUCAAUUCCCGAAUUGAACCGUAAUAUUACAAGAGGCAAACGAUGAAAAACUGGUGUCAUUAACGGGGAUCAAGCACAGACCCCGGUUCCAGACAGAGUGAAUAAAAAUGUACUCUAUUUCAGUCCCUUCCGGUUAGAUAGUAUGUAAAUGGUGACAUGGUGUUCCAGACAAAAAAAAGAGCCAAAAAAAAUACCGACACGUACCUAUUAGGAUAAAAUAAUUACUGUUUAUUUAAUAAGCAUAAUCAUACAGGCAUUUUAAUGUGUUCUCACUUAUGAACUACAUCGAUGAAGUCACAACAGCAACAAAAUC
Molecule: long non-coding RNA, 895 nt
Organism: Pocillopora verrucosa
Lineage: Eukaryota; Metazoa; Cnidaria; Anthozoa; Scleractinia; Pocilloporidae
Source: RefSeq, a predicted model, not a curated record